AGAGUUUGAUCCUGGCUCAGGAUGAACGCUAGCGGCAGGCCUAAUACAUGCAAGUCGAACGGUGAUAGCAAUAUCAUAGUGGCGCACGGGUGCGUAACACGUAUGCAACCUACCUAUUAUUGGGGGAUAGCCUUUGGAAACGGAGAUUAAUACCGCAUAAUACGAUUGACUGGCAUCGGUUGAUUGUUAAAGCUUCGGCGAUAAUAGAUGGGCAUGCGUCCAAUUAGUUAGUUGGUUAGGUAACGGCUGACCAAGACGAUGAUUGGUAGGGGAUCUGAGAGGAUAAUCCCCCACACUGGCACUGAGAUACGGGCCAGACUCCUACGGGAGGCAGCAGUAGGGAAUAUUGGGCAAUGGGCGGAAGCCUGACCCAGCCAUGCCGCGUGCAGGAAGAAGGCGUUAUGCGUUGUAAACUGCUUUUUUAUAGGAAGAAGGAUCCCUUGCGAGGGAAGGUGACGGUACUAUAAGAAUAAGCACCGGCUAACUCCGUGCCAGCAGCCGCGGUAAUACGGAGGGUGCAAGCGUUGUCCGGAUUUAUUGGGUUUAAAGGGUGCGUAGGCGGUUUAUUAAGUCAGUGGUGAAAGACGGUCGCUCAACGAUUGCAGUGCCAUUGAUACUGGUAGACUUGAGUGAGAUUGAGGUAGCUGGAAUGGAUAGUGUAGCGGUGAAAUGCAUA
Molecule: ribosomal RNA, 676 nt
Filed under: uncultured bacterium
Lineage: Bacteria
Description: bacterial SSU rRNA
Rfam family: Bacterial small subunit ribosomal RNA
Source: RNAcentral